Molecule: ribosomal RNA, 253 nt
Filed under: uncultured bacterium
Lineage: Bacteria
Description: partial 16S ribosomal RNA
Rfam family: Bacterial small subunit ribosomal RNA
Source: RNAcentral
UACAGAGGUCCCAAGCGUUGUUCGGAUUCACUGGGCGUAAAGGGUGCGUAGGUGGUUAGGUAAGUCCGGUGUGAAAUCUCCAGGCUCAACCUGGAAAUGGCAUUGGAUACUAUCUAGCUUGAGGAGUGGAGGGGGGACUGGAAUUCUCGGUGUAGCAGUGAAAUGCGCAGAUAUCAGGAGGAACACCAAUGGCGAAGGCAGCUCGCUGGGACGGUACUGACGCUGAGACGCGAAAGCGUGGGGAGCAAACAGG